RNAcentral lists this ribosomal RNA (519 nucleotides) under uncultured bacterium. Its description in RNAcentral is "bacterial SSU rRNA". It matches the Rfam family "Bacterial small subunit ribosomal RNA", at positions 8 to 518 of the family's 1533-position model. The record is from RNAcentral.
AGAGUUUGAUUAUGGCUCAGGAUGAACGCUAGCUACAGGCUUAACACAUGCAAGUCGAGGGGCAGCAUUGGAGUAGCAAUACUCAGAUGGCGACCGGCGCACGGGUGAGUAACACGUAUCCAACCUGCCGCUUACUCGGGGAUAGCCUUUCGAAAGAAAGAUUAAUACCCGAUGGUAUAAAGAGUUCGCAUGUUCUCUUUAUUAAAGAAUUUCGGUAAGCGAUGGGGAUGCGUUCCAUUAGAUAGUUGGCGGGGUAACGGCCCACCAAGUCUACGAUGGAUAGGGGUUCUGAGAGGAAGGUCCCCCACAUUGGAACUGAGACACGGUCCAAACUCCUACGGGAGGCAGCAGUGAGGAAUAUUGGUCAAUGGACGAGAGUCUGAACCAGCCAAAAGUAGCGUGAAGGAUGACUGCCCUAUGGGUUGUAAACUUCUUUUAUAAGGGAAUAAAGUGGGGGACGUGUCCCUUUUUGUAUGUACCUUAUGAAUAAGGAUCGGCUAACUCCGUGCCAGCCGCCGC